GUAGUCUGCAACUCGACUACAUGAAGCUGGAAUCGCUAGUAAUCGCGAAUCAGCAUGUCGCGGUGAAUACGUUCCCGGGUCUUGUACACACCGCCCGUCACACCAUGGGAGUUGGUAACGCCCGAAGCCAGUGACCCAACCCGAGAGGGAGGGAGCUGUCGAAGGUGGGACCGAUAACUGGGGUGAAGUCGUAACAAGGUACC
This 203-nucleotide ribosomal RNA is filed under the name uncultured bacterium. RNAcentral describes it as "partial 16S ribosomal RNA". It matches the Rfam family "Bacterial small subunit ribosomal RNA", at positions 1300 to 1500 of the family's 1533-position model. The record is from RNAcentral.